This 253-nucleotide ribosomal RNA is filed under the name uncultured bacterium. RNAcentral's name for it is "partial 16S ribosomal RNA". It matches the Rfam family "Bacterial small subunit ribosomal RNA", at positions 524 to 776 of the family's 1533-position model. The record is from RNAcentral.
UACGUAGGGCGCAAGCGUUGUCCGGAUUUACUGGGCGUAAAGAGCGCGCAGGCGGUCGUUCAAGUCGAGUGUGAAAGCCCCCGGCUCAACUGGGGAGGGUCACUCGAUACUGAUCGACUUGAAGGCAGGAGAGGGAAGCGGAAUUCCCGGUGUAGUGGUGAAAUGCGUAGAUAUCGGGAGGAACACCAGUGGCGAAGGCGACUACCUGGCCUGUUCUUGACGCUGAGGCGCGAAAGCUAGGGGAGCAAACGGG